This is a long non-coding RNA of Nicotiana attenuata, 1824 nucleotides long. RefSeq lists it as uncharacterized. The transcript has 5 exons. NCBI's taxonomy places the organism in Eukaryota, Viridiplantae, Streptophyta, Magnoliopsida, Solanales, Solanaceae. The record is from RefSeq and is a predicted model, not a curated record.
CUAUAUAAUUUAACACUCCAAUUUCUCUAAAAUACUACCAAUCUCAUUGUAAUUUGGACUUCAAACUACGACUCUUCCAUAAACUUGGCAAAGUUCCAGGAGUAAGAAAACCUAACAUUGCAAAUUGUCUUCAACAAACAAAAUUCUUCAUAGGUUGUAAGUGAACUUCCACUACUAGCAAUUUAAAGAUCUUUGCUAUGAAGGAACUCUUUCCUGUUGAUUUCAUCAUAGUGAACUUCAUUCUUAAUGAUUAUCGUCUUGAAGUUAUACCAAGUUCAAGUCGUCUUUUGGAUUUGGGUAAUGCAGCUAGAUAAUUCCUUCAUCUUGGAAAAGUAACUAUGCAAAUUAGAGGCCGCAACCGACUGGUAAUUGAACAAGAUGAUGAUGGAGAUAUACGACCUUAUAUUGAGCAAUUGAUGGAUGGUCAAAACUACUCUGCAACCCAACUAUAUAUUGAGCAGUUGAUGGAUAAUCAGAACUAUACUGAAGCCGAAGCACAUGACGGUCAAUCUAAUGAGCCGAAUACUUCUGCCAGUGGCACUGAAAAUCAACAUAAUGAUGAAUCAGGUUAUAUUUUUCUCUGGGUUUAUUUUCAGAUUUUAGUUAUGUGAAACUUUGGUUAUUCUGUUUGUGUAUAUAGUUGUAUGGUCUAGAAGGUGAUCUUCUUACAGAUUUGUUCUGAAGUUACAUGUUUUAGUUAAGAUUUAUCACUUUUGGAUAUUUUUGGUUCAGAUUUAGUAUCCCUUCUUUAAUGGAAAGUAAGGCUUGAAAAUCAGUUCCAUUACUACUUUGUAACUUUAAUUCAUGAGAGGUGAACAUGCAUGGUAGGAAGGUUAGAUGAAAGCAUAAGAAAAAAAUUACAUUGGAAUCUUGUUGUUUAGUCAUUUUAUGUAUUUGUUAUUUUUCUUUUUCAUUCAUGGACUAAGAACAGAGAAAGUGAUCCUUUCUAUAGCAGAAUUAAUAUGAAUUCCUGAUGAGCCUUGAUGCACUUGGAAGUUUAAAUGUAUUUCUGCCAACAGAAAGUCAAUGAAAAUUGUCCACUUUUCCUUUUUUAAGUGCAACGAUUUCUGACCAUUUCUAAAUUCUACUAACCAAUCUCCUCGUAGUGUUGUUUGGAAAGGCGAUGUAUAUUUCUAGGUGUUGAGAAAUAAAAAAUGUGGGUGUGUUCGUGGUUUAGGACUUGGUCCUACUCCAUCUGUUCUAUGGGGUAAUAGAUCUUCCUUAGAAAAUAUUAUUACAGAGGAUUCAUCUAGCGAGACUGUAAAAGGGUUCGAAUAGGAGAUAACCGAGUUAAAGGAGAAACACAAUGAAGAAAUGAAUUUGAUGAAACAAAAUCAGGAGAGGAUGCAAUUAGAAUUAUUCCAAAUGAGACAAUUCAUGCGCAAAUAUGCUCCUAAUGAACCUAUGCGUCAAAAUAUCAAUGGCAACUCAACUGAACAGGUUCCUGACGCCAACAGUGGCCAUGAACGAGUACCACAAAUAUCAAGGAUGCCUAGUGUUGCUGAAAAUACUUUACCUUCUCACGGCCAUACAAUAUGAUAUUUGAUCAUUUAGCGGGUGCAAGAUUUCAAUAUUAUGAAAAGUUGCGGAAAUUAAUUGAAGACUAUCAUUCGUCAGGAUCAGUUACAUAAUAGCAUUAGCUAUUUCAUUCAAACAAUAUAAGUUUAUAUUUUAAGUUAAUGUGACGUUGAUAAUUUUGAUUGGUACUUCCUUUUGUUUGUUAAGAUUCAGUGGGAUAUAUUAUUUUUUUUGGAUUAUUAUUGAUACAUUUUGUUCUUUGGAUCAUAUUUUGGAUGAAUGUAGUAACUAUAUUAAUGGUGGCUA